Molecule: long non-coding RNA, 1231 nt
Filed under: Homo sapiens (human)
Lineage: Eukaryota; Metazoa; Chordata; Mammalia; Primates; Hominidae
Description: long non-coding RNA NONHSAT198691.1
Source: RNAcentral
CAGAGUUCAGACUUAGGAGUAAAACAGAAAAGUGAACUAAACAGUCGCUUGGAAGAGAAGACUAAUCAGAUGGCUGCUACCAUUAAACAACUUGAACAAAGGAACCAGCUUGAGUUAGAACUAAAACAGGAAAAAGAAAGAAGAUUACAAAACGACAGGAGCAUCCCAGGAAGGGGUUCCCAGAAGUCAGAAUCCAAGAUGGAUGGGAAGCACAAAAUGCAAGAGGAAAAUGUUAAACUAAAAAAGCCCCUGGAAGAAAGCCACAGGCUGCAACCCCACCCUAUGGAUGAACAGGUAACAGAGCCUCCUGUUUCAAAACAUCUUGUAUGAAUUAUGAAGUUGGUUGUACCGUGCCUAGCCAGCAAAUAAGGAUCAGCUGCUGCUCUCUGAAAAGCCACAGUUGUGUCAGCUAUGCCAGGAAGACGGCAGCCUAACAAAGAAUGUGUGUAAGAACUGCAGCGGAACCUUCUGUGAUGCCUGUUCAACAAAUGAACUGCCUCUUCCUUCAAGUAUCAAGCUUGAGCGAGUUUGCAAUCCCUGUCACAAGCAUCUGAUGAAGCAAUAUUCUACCAGCCCAUCAUAAGACUGGAGGCCAAGACCUGGACCAAAACGUUUAUGCAGGCUCCUCUGUACCUGUGUUUUAGCUGUCAGGAUCUCAUAGAGCCCAGUUCUUAGAGUCAACUAAAGAGUUGAUAGGAAUUUACUAGGUCCAGGGAGAAAAGGCAGUGGUUGGGGUUACUGGAAAUUUUGCUCAUUUUCUCUAAUGACUGUAUGAAUAAAAGUGAACUUACUUGAGCCUUUCUCUUCUAAAUCUAAACAACCUGAUAUUGAAGGUUUGCUUUAUAGCAUAUCUUUGGAAAGGCAACUCAUUUUUAUGAUUAGUGAUACUGGGGUGGAUUUAAUAGGAGAGAGAAUCCAGGCAGAUAAGAAUAAAAAGGAAAAUGAUCAUCUCCUUCUAUAGCAUUUGCAGAUUCAAGGGGGAGAGGUAGAUGCUGAGAUCAAAAUGACAGUUGUUACUUAUUUUUCCAGGUGCUGUUAGUAUAAACAUUGUUUCCUCUUCACCCCUGCUAACUACCUCUUUAAAGUAUUUCUACCAAACUGUGAACCCAAUCUCAGGGAAAAGAAAUUAAAAAGUAAUAUAAAUUCUGCAUAUAUUAAAAACAAUAUUGUAAUAUGUUAUAAUUUCAGGACCAGAAUUUUCUGGUCUUUACCUACAAGGGUUUUCAUUAUC